UCAUGGCUACACGACAGCCGCGCUUUCCGGGCCGCCACGCCGUGCAGGGCCGGGACAAAAAAUCGCAAGAGCCACCGCUCGCUCGCUCCGAGUAGUAAAACUUCAGUCAUGCUCAGUUCAUUUCCUUGCAACAGGCAGUUGGUAGGGUAGGUAUGGUAACCACGGUAAAGAAGAAGCCGACCCGUGCGUGGAAGACGGAUAGCCCUCUCCAGCUGGCUCGCAGGAGGUCGACGACGGCGACACAGGGCCAU
This 251-nucleotide long non-coding RNA is filed under the name Sorghum bicolor (sorghum). RNAcentral describes it as "long non-coding RNA (SBIC_LNC004024)". Lineage: Eukaryota; Viridiplantae; Streptophyta; Magnoliopsida; Poales; Poaceae. The record is from RNAcentral.